AUGUUGGGAGAGGGACUGCUUGGUGCCUGUGACAAGAUUCUGUAUCUCAGCAUCCCAUUCUGUGCAUUGGGAUCAUCAGCAUCGAUGGCAGUAACAGUCAUUACAUAGGUUCCUGGCUUUGAUCCUUCAGGAACUGUCCCAUUCCAAACCUGAUGCAAGAAUUCAGGUCUGUUAUCAUUCAUAUCAAUGACGUUAAUCACAAUAUCAAUAGGAUUUUCC
This 219-nucleotide long non-coding RNA is filed under the name Gallus gallus (chicken). Lineage: Eukaryota; Metazoa; Chordata; Aves; Galliformes; Phasianidae. The record is from RNAcentral.